GACGAACGCUGGCGGCGUGCUUAACACAUGCAAGUCGAACGGAAAGGCCCUGCUUUUGUGGGGUGCUCGAGUGGCGAACGGGUGAGUAACACGUGAGUAACCUGCCCUUGACUUUGGGAUAACUUCAGGAAACUGGGGCUAAUACCGGAUAGGAGCUCCUGCUGCAUGGUGGGGGUUGGAAAGUUUCGGCGGUUGGGGAUGGACUCGCGGCUUAUCAGCUUGUUGGUGGGGUAGUGGCUUACCAAGGCUUUGACGGGUAGCCGGCCUGAGAGGGUGACCGGCCACAUUGGGACUGAGAAACGGCCCAGACUCAUACGGGGGGCAGCAGUGGGGAAUAUUGCACAAGGGGCGGAAGCCUGAUGCAGCAACCCCGGGUGGGGGAUGACGGCCUUCGGGUUGUAAACCUCUUUCGCCUGUGACGAAGCGUGAGUGACGGUAAUGGGUAAAGAAGCACCGGCUAACUACGU
RNAcentral lists this ribosomal RNA (467 nucleotides) under uncultured bacterium. RNAcentral describes it as "partial 16S ribosomal RNA". It matches the Rfam family "Bacterial small subunit ribosomal RNA", at positions 28 to 506 of the family's 1533-position model. The record is from RNAcentral.